GACUCCUACGGGAGGCAGCAGUAAGGAAUAUUGGUCAAUGGACGGAAGUCUGAACCAGCCAUGCCGCGUGCAGGAAGACGGCCCUACGGGUUGUAAACUGCUUUUGUACCGGAAUAAACCUACUUAUGUAUAAGUAGCUGAAUGUACGGUAAGAAUAAGGAUCGGCUAACUCCGUGCCAGCAGCCGCGGUAAUACGGAGGAUCCAAGCGUUAUCCGGAUUUAUUGGGUUUAAAGGGUGCGUAGGCGGCUUUUUAAGUCAGGGGUGAAAGACGGUAGCUCAACUAUCGCAGUGCCCUUGAUACUGAAGAGCUUGAAUGUACUUGAGGUAGGCGGAAUGUGACAAGUAGCGGUGAAAUGCAUAGAUAUGUCACAGAACACCAAUUGCGAAGGCAGCUUACUAAAGUAAUAUUGACGCUGAGGCACGAAAGCGUGGGGAUCAAACAGGAUUAGAUACCCUGGUAGUCCACGCCCUAAACGAUGAACACUCGAUGUUGGCGAUAUACGGUCAGCGUCUAAGCGAAAGCGUUAAGUGUUCCACCUGGGGAGUACGCCCGCAAGGGUGAAACUCAAAGGAAUUGACGGGGGCCCGCACAAGCGGAGGAGCAUGUGGUUUAAUUCGAUGAUACGCGAGGAACCUUACCCGGGCUUGAAAGUUAGUGAAUAGAGCAGAGACGCUCUAGUUCUUCGGAACACGAAACUAGGUGCUGCAUGGCUGUCGUCAGCUCGUGCCGUGAGGUGUUGGGUUAAGUCCCGCAACGAGCGCAACCCCUAUGUUUAGUUGCCAGCAUUUAAGGUGGGGACUCUAAACAGACUGCCUAUGCAAAUAGAGAGGAAGGAGGGGACGACGUCAAGUCAUCAUGGCCCUUACGUCCGGGGCUACACACGUGCUACAAUGGACAGUACAGAGGGCUGCUACCUGGCAACAGGAUGCCAAUCUCUUAAAGCUGUUCACAGUUCGGAUCGGGGUCUGCAACUCGACCCCGUGAAGUUGGAUUCGCUAGUAAUCGCGU
This 1010-nucleotide ribosomal RNA is filed under the name Sphingobacteriaceae bacterium kmd_114. RNAcentral's name for it is "bacterial SSU rRNA". It matches the Rfam family "Bacterial small subunit ribosomal RNA", at positions 334 to 1347 of the family's 1533-position model. Lineage: Bacteria; Pseudomonadati; Bacteroidota; Sphingobacteriia; Sphingobacteriales; Sphingobacteriaceae. The record is from RNAcentral.